Long non-coding RNA from Branchiostoma floridae (Florida lancelet), 1904 nucleotides. RefSeq lists it as uncharacterized. The transcript has 2 exons. The record is from RefSeq and is a predicted model, not a curated record. NCBI's taxonomy places the organism in Eukaryota, Metazoa, Chordata, Leptocardii, Amphioxiformes, Branchiostomatidae.
UUCAAUGCAUUUUAAUCUUGCAACAGGAACGAAAUACAUACUAAUCACAACAAUAUACAGAAGAACCCGUUUUAUGGUCUAACACUAUGUGGAUAUGGCCUCUGUCUAUAUUUGUUACAUUUCUGGCACAUAUGUUAAAGACUUGGGGAUAUGCUUAUUUGAUAUGCAAUACACAAUGUAUUAUGUCAUUAAGAUCAGUGCACUAUUUGACCCCAAUAAUAAUUGUUGAUAAAUCAUACGCAGGUUAAGUGCUAUGGAAUUGCAAAUGUUGUAUGAAGGUCUACAUUUCUCACCACUUAAGUGUAGCAAGAACAUACAAGGCUCUCUGUAGACACCAAAAAGCUACUUCUUCCUCCAUAAGACAUAGGAUUUUUCAAACACAUUGUCGGCAUUACUUUCAUAAAUAUGCAAUAAGACUUUUCAUUUCACAAUAUCUUUGUACAUAACAUUUUCACACAGUUUCAGAACAACAAAAUUAUUUCAUAAAUGCUGCACAGCAGGAAAGAAGAUAUACACUUUUUGCUCUCAACAAAUACAUCUAAGAGUGAUACAGAACAUUUACAUUGUACAAUGCACACAUCGUUACAAUAUAGCUAUACAUGAAACUAUUUGUGAACCAUAAGUUUGAAGGUCAUUUGCCCAGAAGGGCAGCCAUCUUGAAUGUUGCCAAGCAAUGCAUUAUGGGUACAGGUUAAUUCCUCUUUAUCUUGAUAUUGACUGAAUGAAGAUUGUAUUGGUACGGUAUGCAUGGUUAUUGAAAUGCUCAUAUCAUCUCAAAUUAGCUCAGUUUUCUAUUGUUUAAUGCUGUAACAGUUUUAUUUUCUGUCAUGAUAUUUUCUAAUUGCACAAGCCUGCUCAAAUUACACAAAAUACAACAUCAACUGACAUAUCCUGCAUACUAAUUAGCAACCAGCAUUUUCUUCCAGCAUCACAGAUAAGAUGGUGGGUUCUACAAAUUAGUUGUUAUGUUCAGUCUUGCAUCACAGAUGGUGAGUUCUGUGAAUAAGCUGCUAAGUUCAGUCUGGCAUCACACCAAACACAUACAGUUCUACAUAGCAGGAAGCUUUUUAAGCACAAAUAGCAAACACAUCUGUGAUGUAAAACAAAUUCUGGUUACCAAUUUACUAGGAGAUCGUUUAAUGCCUUUAUGAAACAGUUUAUGCUACAGAAUAGAUCUUUAGACUCUUGAAAUGAGCACAGCUAGGGAAAAAUCAUUCAGAAUGGGUAUUACUAAGCAAAUAUAUACAGAUAGUGCCAGAUACGAGAAUGCCUCAGCUGCUACAAGUAUAAUGAUAAGCUGUUGUACAAUAUUUCAUACAGCUACAGCCAUGGCACUAAAGUGCUGCUUCGUUUGCGAAUCAUAAAUAAGUCCUUUCACAGAUCCAACUGCACACGUGAAGACCCCCUAGACAUAAACAAAACAAGUCUGGACAUCCAAACUGACAAAGGCCAUACAUAUCUGGACAUAUAUUGAGCAUGUCCUAGACAAGAACUGUUUUGGCCAUGCUUAGCACAGGCUAGGGGGAUUCACCUUUAACCUGUGCAUGUACAGCUGGACCUGUGAAAGGGCUUAUAGUGAACAACACACAAGGGCUGGUAUUCUCUACUCUAGGAUGAAAGGUCGUGAAAACCAUGAAAAAUAAUGGACCUGUUUUUACACAUCAUGUGUGACUAAACAAAAAAUCCCCACAUUAUAAACAUGUAGUGGAGACAUGUUGGUUACUAUGUAGAAGUGACCGCACAGUGUAAUAGUACUCUUACACCCAUCUCAUCUGUAACAGACCAUGGCACAUGUAUAAUUAUGUAAUAUUGUUGAUGAAGCAGUGCUAGACUGAUAACAGAAUGCAGAAUAGCAUGACAAUGCUUGAAUGAAAGAGAAAAUGGCACAUCAGGAAAUCGUGACU